CCUACGGGUGGCAGCAGUGAGGAAUAUUGGUCAAUGGACGAGAGUCUGAACCAGCCAAGUAGCGUGAAGGAUGACUGCCCUAUGGGUUGUAAACUUCUUUUAUAUGGGAAUAAAAUGUUCCACGUGUGGGAUUUUGUAUGUACCAUAUGAAUAAGGAUCGGCUAACUCCGUGCCAGCAGCCGCGGUAAUACGGAGGAUCCGAGCGUUAUCCGGAUUUAUUGGGUUUAAAGGGAGCGUAGGUGGAUUGUUAAGUCAGUUGUGAAAGUUUGCGGCUCAACCGUAAAAUUGCAGUUGAAACUGGCAGUCUUGAGUACAGUAGAGGUGGGCGGAAUUCGUGGUGUAGCGGUGAAAUGCUUAGAUAUCACGAAGAACUCCGAUUGCGAAGGCAGUUCACUGGACUGCAACUGACACUGAGGCUCGAAAGUGUGAGUAUCAAACAGGAUUAGAUACCCUUGUAGUC
This 460-nucleotide ribosomal RNA is filed under the name uncultured bacterium. RNAcentral's name for it is "partial 16S ribosomal RNA". It matches the Rfam family "Bacterial small subunit ribosomal RNA", at positions 338 to 795 of the family's 1533-position model. The record is from RNAcentral.